UACGUAGGGUGCGAGCGUUAAUCGGAAUUACUGGGCGUAAAGCGUGCGUAGGCGGUUCUCCAAGUCCGUUGUGAAAGCCCCGGGCUCAACCUGGGAAUGGCAGUGGAAACUAGGGGACUGGAAUCUGGCAGAGGGGGGUGGAAUGCCGCGUGUAGCAGUGAAAUGCGUAGAUAUCGGGAGGAACACCUGUGGCGAAAGCGGCUCACUGGACCACAACUGACGCUGAGGCGCGAAAGCUAGGGGAGCAAACAGG
Molecule: ribosomal RNA, 253 nt
Filed under: uncultured bacterium
Lineage: Bacteria
Description: partial 16S ribosomal RNA
Rfam family: Bacterial small subunit ribosomal RNA
Source: RNAcentral